This 464-nucleotide ribosomal RNA is filed under the name Bacillus sp. Z1-1. RNAcentral's name for it is "bacterial SSU rRNA". It matches the Rfam family "Bacterial small subunit ribosomal RNA", at positions 23 to 479 of the family's 1533-position model. Lineage: Bacteria; Bacillati; Bacillota; Bacilli; Caryophanales; Bacillaceae. The record is from RNAcentral.
CUCAGGACGAACGCUGGCGGCGUGCCUAAUACAUGCAAGUCGAGCGGACUGAUGGGAGCUUGCUCCCUGAUGUUAGCGGCGGACGGGUGAGUAACACGUGGGCAACCUACCUGUAAGACUGGGAUAACUCCGGGAAACCGGGGCUAAUACCGGAUAACCCGUUCCUCCUCAUGGAGGGACGGUAAAAGAUGGCUUCUUGCUAUCACUUACAGAUGGGCCCGCGGCGCAUUAGCUAGUUGGUAAGGUAAUGGCUUACCAAGGCGACGAUGCGUAGCCGACCUGAGAGGGUGAUCGGCCACACUGGGACUGAGACACGGCCCAGACUCCUACGGGAGGCAGCAGUAGGGAAUCUUCCGCAAUGGACGAAAGUCUGACGGAGCAACGCCGCGUGAGUGAUGAAGGUUUUCGGAUCGUAAAGCUCUGUUGUUAGGGAAGAACAAGUGCCGUUCGAAUAGGGCGGCACC